RNAcentral lists this long non-coding RNA (1314 nucleotides) under Homo sapiens (human). Its description in RNAcentral is "HSALNT0388936". The record is from RNAcentral. Lineage: Eukaryota; Metazoa; Chordata; Mammalia; Primates; Hominidae.
UUUUCGAAGUCUUUAUUUCUCCAUGUUUCUCUUUCCCCAGCCUCUUCCCUCCUAGGUGCUCUGGUGUGUCUGCUUCUGGCCCCAUCUGUUUUCCCUUGCUCCAGGUGGCUACAGCUGGCAUAUGCCUUUAAAUCCUUUCGACAAACACUGCUGGGAAGGUGGUUCCAAUGCUGAAAGUUCUGAGGGCGAUGAAACAAAGGCAAGCCUCUGAGUCAGUCCCUCUGGUUGCUGCCAGACUGGUCGAAAAAUACAACCACAGCUUUUUGAGAACAAGGACCUUAUUGGCCUCUCUGGCACAAGCAAGCUGCCCAAGGAAUGUGGGCCACCAUCUCCAUAGCUGCUUUCUGAACUGGGGAUUGAGAGGUGGCGAUCACAGGGCACGCCCUAAGAAACCUGCACACUAACCUCCCUCUCAGACACUGCUUCUGGAGAGCCCAACCUGUGACCGCUGGGUCAGGAGGGGUCUGAGGAAGAAGAUGCUAAGAUGGGAUUCUGGCUCUGGAUCACCCACUGCCUAGCUGCUGAUAAGGAUCCUUUUGCUGGGGGUAGAUGGAGCGGGUACAUGCCCCCGCACAGAGCAGAGUGCCACCUGCCCAGAACCGCUCCACGGUCCAUGGAGAUCGGUUUACUUCUCUUUUCGCCUGCUUCCGCAGCCAAGACUCAACUCCCUCCCAUCCAUGAGUUCUCUUGGAGUAUCUUUGUGUAAACAAGGUCUCAGUAACUAAAUCCUGUUUCCAUCUCCCUGCAUCAGUGUUCUCUGGCUGGGUGGGCGGAGCUCCUUUGGCUCGGUCCUGCUGAUGUCCUUAAAGGCCUCAGCCCGUGGAGUCAAAGCCUGGGGCCAGCGGCUGCAGGAUUCUAAACACUGUGAGUGCUCAGUUGCGCAGCUGGGUGUGGGACUGUGUGACGGCAAGAAGCAUCCAAAGGUGGACGUGGCCAGGGAUGGGAGGAGCCAUCGGAGAGGUGGUAAGGACAGCGACCGAGUUCCCCGAGAGAGGCGAGUCUUAGUAAUUCGGGAAUUCAGCCCCCACGACUGUGGUGAGUGAGGAGGAAGAAUGCGGAAUUGAGAGAUGGAAAAUGAGGCAGGCACUGGCCCCAGCCCUGGAAAGCCGUCCCUUCUCCUGUUCUGAAAGCCGACUUCUCCCACCUGGACGUGCACCCCAUCUCCCCGGGAGGCCCCGGAGCCUGGCUGCAGUCCGUCUGUCUGCCUGGCUCGCCGCCAUGGCUUUGCUCACCCCUCUCAUCUUUGCCAUGUUAUCUCUACACUUAGGAUUUGUGGUUUGUCUUGUACACUAAUAAACGGCAACUCUAUUAGGA